GUGUUCAUUUCAGCAGCACAUAUACUAAAAUUGGGGAUACUGAGAAGAUUAGCAUGGCUCUUGUGCAAGGAUGAUAUGCAAAUUCAUGAAAUGUCAACAUUGGGU
Molecule: small nuclear RNA, 105 nt
Organism: Antechinus flavipes (yellow-footed antechinus)
Lineage: Eukaryota; Metazoa; Chordata; Mammalia; Dasyuromorphia; Dasyuridae
Source: RefSeq, a predicted model, not a curated record